This 253-nucleotide ribosomal RNA is filed under the name uncultured bacterium. Its description in RNAcentral is "partial 16S ribosomal RNA". It matches the Rfam family "Bacterial small subunit ribosomal RNA", at positions 524 to 776 of the family's 1533-position model. The record is from RNAcentral.
UACGAAGGGGGCUAGCGUUGUUCGGAUUAACUGGGCGUAAAGCGCGCGUAGGCGGGUUUUUAAGUCAGGGGUGAAAUCCCAAGGCUCAACCUUGGAACUGCCUUUGAUACUGGAAAUCUUGAGUCCGGGAGAGGUGAGUGGAACUGCGAGUGUAGAGGUGAAAUUCGUAGAUAUUGGGAAGAACACCGGUGGCGAAGGCGGCUCUCUGGACCGUAACUGACGCUGAGGCGCGAAAGCGUGGGGAGCAAACAGG